Molecule: ribosomal RNA, 519 nt
Filed under: Otiorhynchus alpicola
Lineage: Eukaryota; Metazoa; Arthropoda; Insecta; Coleoptera; Curculionidae
Description: partial 16S ribosomal RNA
Rfam family: Bacterial large subunit ribosomal RNA
Source: RNAcentral
CAUGGCCUUUUGAGUAUAAUUUAAGGUCUGACCUGCCCAAUGAAAUUUAAAUGGCCGCGGUAUUUUGACCGUGCAAAGGUAGCAUAAUCAUUAGUUUUUUAAUUGAAAGCUAGAAUGAAUGGUCGGAUGAAAAAAUAAUUGUCUCUAUUUAAAUUAAUUAGAAUUUUAUUUUUAAGUAAAAAAGCUUAAAUUUAAUUAGAAGACGAGAAGACCCUAUAGAGUUUUAUUAAUUUGUAUUAUAUAAAAUUUUUAGAAUUAUUUUUUUUAUUAAAAUAAAUUAAUUUAAUUGGGGUGAUUAAAAAAUUUAUUUAACUUUUUUUUUAUUUUUACAUUUAUAUAUGAUUGAUUGAUCCUUAUUUAAAGAUUAAAAGAUAAAAUUACCUUAGGGAUAACAGCGUAAUUUUUUUAGAGAGUUCAAAUCGAAAGAAAAGAUUGCGACCUCGAUGUUGGAUUAAAAUAAAAUUUUGGUGUAGAAGCUAAAGUUUUAGGUCUGUUCGACCUUUAAAAUUUUACUUGAUC